AGCUUCCCGGUGCUUACCACAGGCUGUGUCCUGACACUGACUGUACAGAAAGAGGAGGCAGAGUAAACCUUCCCCAUAAACACUUCAUCCCAGGCCUCAUGCAUGGUCAGUAUUGUGAAUGGGAGGACAUGA
Small nucleolar RNA from Oryctolagus cuniculus (rabbit), 132 nucleotides. NCBI's taxonomy places the organism in Eukaryota, Metazoa, Chordata, Mammalia, Lagomorpha, Leporidae. The record is from Ensembl.